UUUUAGUACAUCUUCCCUCCCACGUUUUCCAACUUCAAUCCCUUUAAAACUUUUUCUCGAAUUUGUUUUUCCAUUUGCAUUUGCAUCGCGUCUACAAUUGGAUGUGUUUGUUCAGACCAUUGUCGAUAACGAAGAUAAAGUUUCAACGAAGGACAACCAAGUAUGUUGGUGGGAUAGAUUAUCAUUAAGAAAGGGAAACCAAUUGUCACCAUCGCCGGCUUCUACCAAAACAGUUCCAGAUGAACAAGGUCACGAUUUCCAUCGCAUCAACCAGUACGGAUCGACUGUCUGUUUUAACGAUUUGAAGGUUCCUGUUGAUGGUGGUUUCUUAUAAUUAGCAUCAACAUCUUGAUGUCAGAUUUGUAUUGGUGAUAUGCUGAUAAUUAGCUUCAUAAUUUCAUUGGGAUUUUUGCCUAUUACCUUUUUAUCUUAUGUUGUAGAUAUUGUUUUUUACAUAAAGAUAUAACCAUCUAGAGUCUACAUAUAUCAAAAUUGCUGGUAACUCAAUGUUUACACCUUAUAUUUAGCUUUGCAUGAAAUAUUGAAUAGUGAUGGAAUCAAAUUUGUGGGGUAUGAUUGCAUGCUUUUUGGUUGUUAGAUACUUAUAUUUUGUUUUAGUGUGUACGUAAACAGAACUAGUACGGCUGCCAAUGAACUAGUGGAUCACAGGGUAUUAUUAUCAAAAAUAAAGAUCAAUUUAUGAACUACAUGAUGUACUUCUGUUAGGUCAAGAAUUUUGAUCCUUGCUCUGAUGAUUGUGCAUCCACCUAUCUGAGUAGAGCAAAAUUGCAAGCAGCUAUUUAUGCCCAAAAAACCUCAUCGUUACAUUGUUGGUACUCAUUUUCUUUAAAUUUGCAUGGUAAUACUAUAAACACAAAUGUUCACAUGUUUGUUAGAAGUCAACCUAGCAACUAUACCCCCAAAAGACCAAGCAAUUCCUAAUGGUAAGUAAUUAUUCGCAAAUAAAAUAUGUAUUUUUUUUUGUUUUCUUUCUAUUUUUAACCUUAAAGUUUUCAUUUUUUACCUAAUAUCUUAUCUAAAUUGUCAUGGAAUCUUCAAGAUUUAUCUCUAAAUGAAAUUGCGUGUUAGAAAAAUCUUAUCUUUUUGCUGAACAUGCUUAUAAUAUGGUGUUAAACAGAAAACACACUUUGGGUGAUGAAGGUUGUAAGUUUCGUAGCUUUGAUACCUCUGGAGGUGUUUGGCCACGCUAACUGUUGCAACCACUUUUACAUGGGUAAAUGGACAGUUGGGUAACGGGUCAAACAGGUUGGUGGUCAUCACACUCAGGUAGACACUGCAGCCAAAGUCAAGGGGCCUAAAGAUGAAGUUCAAAUAUAUACUUGAAUGGACGCCAAAAAACGUGAGCUAAUGAUUCGGGAUAAAGAUUUGGCUCUUAUUGAAGAACAUACGAAGGCUUUUAAAGCCGAAGGAGGGGAUGUAAGCAUUUGGUGACCAAAAUGAAGAAGAAGAUUAAGCGGCCAAGUGAUAGUUAAUAGUACCAAGCCAAACCAGAGUGAUUUAGGAGGUCUAACAAAGAAAACUCACUUUGGGCGUCUAUGGACGGGUUCCUUUCUAGCUAGCGUUUUAAGUUUUACCCGUUAGAGAUAAAUAUAACCUGAAACAACCCAUUCGUAUAUAAAUGACCAUGAAUUUCAGGAACUUGCAGCUUCUUUCUGGUCUGCUUCAGGUAAACGAGUAACCGAAUACUUGAGCAUCGCAACACGUGUUAGAAGUUCUCUUAGGAUUGCAGAAAGGCCAAGGUUUGUAUCUGCAUUUCGCUGAUCCAAUUGUGGGAAUAUGAGCCCCAAUGUGCUUGGGGCAUUCUGCACCGAUACUGGACUACCCUGUGACUUUAAUCAUAGUACUUGUGAUGGGAAGAAUGAGUUGUGUUAUGUUCGAGGACCAAGGUUCAUAUUCUUGAUUUCUAUACAUUCUAUAUAGGUGGUAAGAUCAUUGGGUUAGGUCUAAACGGUUCAACUUUUGACGGUUGUCUCUGAUCGUCUUUACAAGUGCUUUUGUCGGUUGUCUCUGAUUGUCUUUACAAGUGCUUUGCUAUGUGUUUAGGUAUAUUAUACAUCAAUAUAUGAUAGCGAAACAUCC
RNAcentral lists this long non-coding RNA (2100 nucleotides) under Helianthus annuus (common sunflower). RNAcentral describes it as "hypothetical non coding rna". The record is from RNAcentral. Lineage: Eukaryota; Viridiplantae; Streptophyta; Magnoliopsida; Asterales; Asteraceae.